CAAUAAUGCAAACUCCAUUUGUAUAGACUCCAACCAUACGAACUGCAAUCAGGGGAAGGUGCCAAUCUCCCGAAUGGGACCCGUAUGGGUGCUCCAACUCCCGAACGGUAAACCCACGAAUCGCCACUAACAGCCGAAUAAAUAUAUCCUCCAAGCUGCUUACGCUUCUGGCAAUCAGUCUCUAACCGCGUGUAGUAAACUAUGCCGGAAGGAAAACUAAAAGACCAUGCC
Pelobates cultripes (western spadefoot toad) is the source of this 231-nucleotide non-coding RNA. Lineage: Eukaryota; Metazoa; Chordata; Amphibia; Anura; Pelobatidae. The record is from the annotation of a GenBank genome assembly.